Molecule: ribosomal RNA, 406 nt
Filed under: uncultured bacterium
Lineage: Bacteria
Description: partial 16S ribosomal RNA
Rfam family: Bacterial small subunit ribosomal RNA
Source: RNAcentral
AUUGAACGCUAGCGGCAGGCCUAACACAUGCAAGUCGAACGAGUGGCGGACGGGUGAGUAAUGUCUGGGAAACUGCCUAAUGGAGGGGGAUAACUACUGGAAACGGUAGCUAAUACCGCAUACCAUCAGAUGUGCCCAGAUGGGAUUAGCUAGUUGGUGGGGUAACGGCUCACCAAGGCGACGAUCCGUAGCUGGUCUGAGAGGAUGACCAGCCAACCUGGGACUGAGACACGGUCCAGACUCCGACGGGAGGCAGCAGUGGGGAAUAUUGGACAAGGGGGGCAAGCCUGAUGCAGCCAUCCCGCGUGUAUGAUGAAGGCCUUCGGGUUGUAAAGUACUUUCGGCGGGGAGGCGUUACCCGCAGAAUAAGCACCGGCUAACUCCGUGCCAGCAGCCGCGGUAAUAC